This 263-nucleotide long non-coding RNA is filed under the name Zostera marina. RNAcentral's name for it is "long non-coding RNA (ZMAR_LNC004724)". Lineage: Eukaryota; Viridiplantae; Streptophyta; Magnoliopsida; Alismatales; Zosteraceae. The record is from RNAcentral.
GUUGCCCCUCUGGUUUGUGAAAUAGUGGCGCACUUGAAUGUGCUGCCCUAUGACUUGACACCUCCUGCUGUGCCUUGGCCUGCUUUGAGGUUUGAGCUUUUGAAUGGUAUAUUGACGCCUUAGACUUUUCAAUAUCCUUUAUCUUUUCGCUCAUUUUUGCUAUGGUUUCCUUCAUUUUCUCCAGCUCUUCUAUAGGCAUUUUUAUGAACCCAUGAGUGGAUUCUGAUGCAGCAGCCCUUGGUUCCUUGCUGCUUGUGGGCCCC